UACGUAGGGAGCAAGCGUUAUCCGGAUUUACUGGGUGUAAGGGGUGCGUAGGCGGCCCCUUAAGUCUAAAGUGAAAUUUCGAGGCUCAACCUCGGAGCUGCUUUGGAAACUGAGGGGCUAGAGUGUGGGAGAGGAAAGCGGAACUUUGAGUGUAGCGGUGAAAUGCGUAGAGAUUCAAAGGAACACCAGUAGCGAAGGCGGCUUUCUGGACCAUAACUGACGCUGAGGCACGAAAGCGUGGGGAGCAAACAGGAUUAGAUACCCUGGUAGUCCCUGAG
RNAcentral lists this ribosomal RNA (278 nucleotides) under uncultured prokaryote. RNAcentral's name for it is "partial 16S ribosomal RNA". It matches the Rfam family "Bacterial small subunit ribosomal RNA", at positions 524 to 801 of the family's 1533-position model. The record is from RNAcentral.